This 550-nucleotide long non-coding RNA is filed under the name Phoenix dactylifera (date palm). RNAcentral describes it as "long non-coding RNA (PDAC_LNC020789)". Lineage: Eukaryota; Viridiplantae; Streptophyta; Magnoliopsida; Arecales; Arecaceae. The record is from RNAcentral.
CAUGCAUCCCAGGUGAAUCGCGGCUCACAAAACAAAUGCUAAGGGUCCAUGUGAAGGGAGUGGUCCACGGGUCCAUGGCAUUUAUUCACGGUCAGCAACCACACAAAAUGGGAAAAGUCAACUUGAUACAAAUGGGUUAGCCCAUUUGAUCAUAAGUUAGUCUAUUUGGUUCUAAACCAAAUUUGCAGCCCAUUUGAAUGAAUUUUUGAUCCGAAAAAAUUCCACAUGAGUCUGACUCAUAGGAGAUUCAAUUGGGUCUAGUUUCGUCUCGAUCCAAGUCCGACUUAGAUCAGAAAAAAUACGAAAUUAAAUCCCAAUUAAAUCAUGAUCGAGCCUAAUUACACUAAUUUAGACCCAAUCAAAUCCAAUCUCAACAAUUGAGUCCUGAUCAAGUUCAAUUAUAUUAAUUAAAACUUGAUUGACCCGAAAUACAGACUUAAUUAGUUGUUCAUCCAUGAAAUUUAGCAUGUACCUCAUGUUCAGUGCUAGCUGAACAUAGACAGAGCCAAAUUCCAAAUGACCCAUAAUUUAAUUCUUAAUUAAAUUGGGU